Molecule: ribosomal RNA, 451 nt
Filed under: uncultured bacterium
Lineage: Bacteria
Description: bacterial SSU rRNA
Rfam family: Bacterial small subunit ribosomal RNA
Source: RNAcentral
AACGAACGCUGGCGGCAUGCCUAACACAUGCAAGUCGAACGAGACCUUCGGGUCUAGUGGCGCACGGGUGCGUAACGCGUGGGAACCUGCCUUUAGGUUCGGAAUAACUCAGAGAAAUUUGAGCUAAUACCGGAUAAUGUCUUCGGACCAAAGAUUUAUCGCCUUUAGAUGGGCCCGCGUUGGAUUAGCUAGUUGGUGGGGUAAAGGCCUACCAAGGCGACGAUCCAUAGCUGGUCUGAGAGGAUGAUCAGCCACGCUGGGACUGAGACACGGCCCAGACUCCUACGGGGGGCAGCAGUGGGGAAUAUUGGACAAUGGGCGAAAGCCUGAUCCAGCAAUGCCGCGUGAGUGAUGAAGGCCUUAGGGUUGUAAAGCUCUUUUUACCCGGGAUGAUAAUGACAGUACCGGGAGAAUAAGCCCCGGCUAACUCCGUGCCAGCAGCCGCGGUAAU